RNAcentral lists this ribosomal RNA (482 nucleotides) under uncultured bacterium. RNAcentral's name for it is "partial 16S ribosomal RNA". It matches the Rfam family "Bacterial small subunit ribosomal RNA", at positions 28 to 507 of the family's 1533-position model. The record is from RNAcentral.
GACGAACGCUGGCGGCGUGCUUAACACAUGCAAGUCGAACGAUGAAGAAGAGAAACGCGAACUUCGGUUCAAAUUUCACUUCGGAUUAGUGGCAGACUGGUGAGUAACGCGUGAGCAACCUACCUCUUACAAAGGGAGAGCCUCGGGAAACCGUGAUUAAUACCAUAUGACACAUUCAUAAGGCAUCUUAAGAAUGUUAAAGCUACGGCGGUAAGAGAUGGGCUCGCGUCCCAUUAGCUAGUUGGUGAGGUAACGGCCCACCAAGGCGACGAGGGGUAACCAGGCUGAGAGGGUGAACGGUCACAUUGGAACUGAGACACGGUCCAAACUCCGACGGGAGGCAGCAGUGGGGAAUAUUGCACAAUGGAGGGCACUCUGAUGCAGCGACGCCGCGUGAGCGAUGAAGGAAUUCGUUUCGUAAAGCUCUGUUCUAUGGGAAGAAAAGGACUGUACCAUAGGAGAAAGCCCCGGCUAAAUACGUG